GGUCCGGUAGCUCAGAAGGAAGAGCAUCUGCCCGACACGCAGAAGGCCGCGGGUUCGAGCCCCGCCUGGACCA
RNAcentral lists this transfer RNA (73 nucleotides) under Myxococcales bacterium. Its description in RNAcentral is "tRNA-Val". It matches the Rfam family "tRNA". From Rfam's summary of the family: Transfer RNA (tRNA) molecules are approximately 80 nucleotides in length. Lineage: Bacteria; Pseudomonadati; Myxococcota; Myxococcia; Myxococcales. The record is from RNAcentral.